GGAAUAUUGGACAAUGGGCGAAAGCCUGAUCCAGCCAUGCCGCGUGUGUGAAGAAGGUCUUCGGAUUGUAAAGCACUUUAAGUUGGGAGGAAGGGCAGUAAAUUAAUACUUUGCUGUUUUGACGUUACCGACAGAAUAAGCACCGGCUAACUCUGUGCCAGCAGCCGCGGUAAUACAGAGGGUGCAAGCGUUAAUCGGAAUUACUGGGCGUAAAGCGCGCGUAGGUGGUUUGUUAAGUUGAAUGUGAAAUCCCCGGGCUCAACCUGGGAACUGCAUCCAAAACUGGCAAGCUAGAGUAGGGCAGAGGGUGGUGGAAUUUCCUGUGUAGCGGUGAAAUGCGUAGAUAUAGGAAGGAACACCAGUGGCGAAGGCGACCACCUGGGCUCAUACUGACACUGAGGUGCGAAAGCGUGGGGAGCAAACAGGAUUAGAUACCCUAG
RNAcentral lists this ribosomal RNA (440 nucleotides) under uncultured Pseudomonas sp. Its description in RNAcentral is "bacterial SSU rRNA". It matches the Rfam family "Bacterial small subunit ribosomal RNA", at positions 358 to 790 of the family's 1533-position model. Lineage: Bacteria; Pseudomonadati; Pseudomonadota; Gammaproteobacteria; Pseudomonadales; Pseudomonadaceae. The record is from RNAcentral.